AUACGGAGGAUGCGAGCGUUAUCCGGAUUUAUUGGGUUUAAAGGGAGCGUAGGUGGGAUAUUAAGUCGGCUGUGAAAGUUUGGGGCUCAACCUUAAAAUUGCAGUUGAUACUGGUUUCCUUGAGUACGGUACAGGUGGGCGGAAUUCGUGGUGUAGAGGUGAAAUGCUUAGAUAUCACGAAGAACUCCGAUCGCGAAGGCAGCUCACCGGGCCGGAACUGACACUGAUGCUCGAAAGUGCGGGUAUCAAACAGGAUUAGAUACCCUGGUAGUCCGCACAGUAAGCGAUGAAUACUCGCUGUUUGCGAUACACAGUAAGCGGCCAAGCGAAAGCGUUAAGUAUUCCACCUGGGGAGUACGCCGGCAACGGUGAAACUCAAAUGAAUUGACGGGG
RNAcentral lists this ribosomal RNA (393 nucleotides) under uncultured bacterium. Its description in RNAcentral is "partial 16S ribosomal RNA". It matches the Rfam family "Bacterial small subunit ribosomal RNA", at positions 523 to 918 of the family's 1533-position model. The record is from RNAcentral.